RNAcentral lists this ribosomal RNA (446 nucleotides) under uncultured bacterium. RNAcentral's name for it is "partial 16S ribosomal RNA". It matches the Rfam family "Bacterial small subunit ribosomal RNA", at positions 330 to 793 of the family's 1533-position model. The record is from RNAcentral.
CCCAGACUCCUACGGGAGGCAGCAGUGGGGAAUAUUGCACAAUGGGGGGAACCCUGAUGCAGCGACGCCGCGUGGGUGAAGAAGUCAUUUGUGACGUAAAGCCCUAUCAGCAGGGAAGAAAAUGACGGUACCUGACUAAGAAGCCCCGGCUAACUACGUGCCAGCAGCCGCGGUAAUACGUAGGGGGCAAGCGUUAUCCGGAUUUACUGGGUGUAAAGGGAGCGUAGACGGCGGCGCAAGUCCGGAGUGAAAGCCCACGGCCCAACCGUGGGACUGCUCUUGGAACUGCGCGGCUGGAGUGCAGGAGGGGCAGGCGGAAUUCCUGGUGUAGCGGUGAAAUGCGUAGAUAUCAGGAGGAACACCGGUGGCGAAGGCGGCCUGCUGGACUGCGACUGACGUUGAGGCCCGAAAGCGUGGGGAGCAAACAGGAUUAGAUACCCCUGUAC